AUGGCGGACUGGUGGCGGCGGCGGCGCGUCGUCGUCGUCGCUGUCGUCGAUGACGACGACUCCUCCUUCGUCGCGGCCCCGGCGGCGCUGCGCGAAGCACCGCAGGGCGGCGCACUGGCGCUCCCUCGCCAUCUUCAGGGAGUCCUGGCGUGCCCAUUCCAGGGCCGCGUCAUCGUCGAGUUCCACGUCGCCGUGGUCCGUUUUCACGGCGGGGAGACCCGGCUCCGUCUUCACCGACGCAAGCCCCGGCUCCGUCUUUGGCUUGACGAAGCGCGGAGGAGGAGCCGACGAGGAGGCGCGCCGGCCGCCCUCGUUGAUGACGAUGCCGGAGCUGCGAGUGCGCCGGCCGAGCGGCGUCUCCGCCGUUGGCUCGGCCUUGACGUCGAGCAGCGCCGGAGAGCCGGAGAAGUGGGAGGAAGAGCGCGAGGAGAAGAAGAGGAGGAGCCGAGAACCUCCUUGGCACCCAUUGCCCGUCGCGUCGGCGGUGCGCCGAGGCGGCCGCCCUGGCCGGGGGUACGCCAACGGCGGGUUGUUGCCGCCCUCGAGGUGCGUCAGCACGCCCUCGAGUGUGCGGCCGGGGACGCCCCACCACAGGUGGCGUCCCUCGCUGUUCUUCAGGCCGCCGACCACCGCCGCGCCGUUGGUGGACGCCAGCCGCUACUGCUGACGGCGUUGGAAGUACGCCGCCCAAGCCGCGUGGUUGUCAGCGGCGUACUGAGGGGGGGCGAGCUGGGCGUCGGUGAGGGAGGCGCGCACGACCUCCACCUCGUCGGCGAAGUAGGAGGGGCGCGCCACGGCGUCAGGCAACGGGGGAAUGGGCCCUCCCCCGUUGCUGAGCCUCCACCCCGUCGGCCCGGCGCGCAUGUCCGGCGGCGCCGGGAUGUUCGCCUGGAACAGGAGCCACGACUCCUGUUCGCGGAGCGUGCGGCAGCCGAAGCCGUUGGCCGCCGCCUCGUCUCCGGGGAAAUGCUCGGCCAUCGGGAGAGGGAGGGCUCGGCGGCGGCGUUCGGGAGAGGUAGAACUCGGCGGCUAGGGCGAGGCUGGUGUGGCUAG
Molecule: ribosomal RNA, 1053 nt
Filed under: Triticum aestivum (bread wheat)
Lineage: Eukaryota; Viridiplantae; Streptophyta; Magnoliopsida; Poales; Poaceae
Description: partial small subunit ribosomal RNA
Source: RNAcentral